GCCUGAAUAGCUCAGUAGGUAGAGCAACUGGCUGUUAACCAGUAGGUCGUAGGUUCGAAUCCUACUUCAGGCGCCA
RNAcentral lists this transfer RNA (76 nucleotides) under Erysipelothrix sp. RNAcentral's name for it is "tRNA-Asn". It matches the Rfam family "tRNA". Rfam says of the family: Transfer RNA (tRNA) molecules are approximately 80 nucleotides in length. Their secondary structure includes four short double-helical elements and three loops (D, anti-codon, and T loops). Lineage: Bacteria; Bacillati; Bacillota; Erysipelotrichia; Erysipelotrichales; Erysipelotrichaceae. The record is from RNAcentral.